RNAcentral lists this long non-coding RNA (538 nucleotides) under Homo sapiens (human). RNAcentral's name for it is "HSALNT0342293". Lineage: Eukaryota; Metazoa; Chordata; Mammalia; Primates; Hominidae. The record is from RNAcentral.
CUCCGGCACCUGCAGGCUCACCAGGUCCCGGAAGAGCCGCUUGGAGCGCGGCACGUUCAGCCCUGAGAGCGCAGCGGGGACGGAGGAAGUGCUGUGGAACAUCAGAUAGAAUGGAUAGCACAGCCCAAAUUUUACAAAAAGGAUUUUAAAGGAAGAUCUCAAUGGUGGAACACUAGAGGCUUUCCUGCUAAAGUUAAGAACAAGCAAAGGCUGACGCAGUUUUGGCAUGCAGGAAGUGUUGGAGCUGAGACUCGAAACUGUCCCCCAGGCCUUGGCCAUGCUGAUAAAUAUCUAGGCCCUACAGGAGUUCGUGUCCAUGAACCCAGUAAACGCAAUUCCUCAGCCUUAAAAUCUAGUCACUGACUCAUUUCAGGCCCCAGCACAGACGAAAACAAGCCAUUCUGUUUGCCCAGUUUACAUUGCGGGUCUCCAAGAAGUGGAAUGUUCACCAAUGAUUUUAAGAAAACAGGGCCUGGCGCGGUGGCUCACGCCUGUAAUCCCAGCACUUUGGGAGGCCGAGGCAGGCAGAUCACCUGAG